Molecule: ribosomal RNA, 253 nt
Filed under: uncultured bacterium
Lineage: Bacteria
Description: partial 16S ribosomal RNA
Rfam family: Bacterial small subunit ribosomal RNA
Source: RNAcentral
UACGGCGGGGGCAAGCGUUGUUCGGAUUCAUUGGGCUUAAAGCGUGCGUAGGCGGGUCAUUAAGUCAGGGGUGAAAGCCGAGGGCUCAACUGUCGAACUGCCAUUGAUACUGAUGAGCUUGAGCAUGAUCGAGGUGGGUGGAAGUUCGGGUGUAGAGGUGAAAUGCGUAGAUAUCAUCAGGAACACCGGUAGUGAAGGCAGUUUGCCAGGCUACAGCUGACGCUGAGGCACGAAAGCGUGGGGAGCAAACAGG